GGCUGGAAGUGGCCGUCCCGGUGGCCGGGGCUCCCUUCCCCGGUCGAGCGCUCGUACCCGCGGGGGCGGGAUGGUAACCCGUUUCCGGCCG
RNAcentral lists this transfer RNA (91 nucleotides) under Streptomyces lucensis JCM 4490. RNAcentral's name for it is "tRNA-Gly". The record is from RNAcentral. Lineage: Bacteria; Bacillati; Actinomycetota; Actinomycetes; Kitasatosporales; Streptomycetaceae.